CACGUGGGGUGCGAGCGUUGUCCGGAAUUAUUGGGCGUAAAGAGCUCGUAGGCGGUGUGUCGCGUCGGCCGUGAAAACCUGCAGCUCAACUGUGGGCUUGCGGUCGAUACGGGCAUCACUGGAGUUCGGCAGGGGAGACUGGAAUUCCUGGUGUAGCGGUGAAAUGCGCAGAUAUCAGGAGGAACACCGGUGGCGAAGGCGGGUCUCUGGGCCGAUACUGACGCUGAGGAGCGAAAGCGUGGGGAGCAAACAGG
This 254-nucleotide ribosomal RNA is filed under the name uncultured bacterium. RNAcentral describes it as "partial 16S ribosomal RNA". It matches the Rfam family "Bacterial small subunit ribosomal RNA", at positions 524 to 776 of the family's 1533-position model. The record is from RNAcentral.